GUGAGGAAUAUUGGUCAAUGGGCGGGAGCCUGAACCAGCCAAGUCGUGUGAAGGAAGAAGGAUCUAUGGUUCGUAAACUUCUUUUGCAGGGGAAUAAAGUGCAGGACGUGUCCUGUUUUGUAUGUACCCUGAGAAUAAGGAUCGGCUAACUCCGUGCCAGCAGCCGCGGUAAUACGGAGGAUCCGAGCGUUAUCCGGAUUUAUUGGGUUUAAAGGGUGCGUAGGUGGUUUGAUAAGUCAGCGGUGAAAGUUUGCAGCUUAACUGUAAAAAUGCCGUUGAAACUGUCGGACUUGAGUGUAAAUGAGGUAGGCGGAAUGCGUGGUGUAGCGGUGAAAUGCAUAGAUAUCACGCAGAACUCCGAUUGCGAAGGCAGCUUACUAAGCUACAACUGACACUGAAGCACGAAAGCGUGGGGAUCAAACAGGAUUAGAAACCCGGGUAGUCC
Molecule: ribosomal RNA, 445 nt
Filed under: uncultured bacterium
Lineage: Bacteria
Description: partial 16S ribosomal RNA
Rfam family: Bacterial small subunit ribosomal RNA
Source: RNAcentral